Non-coding RNA from Paramuricea clavata, 233 nucleotides. The record is from the annotation of a GenBank genome assembly. Lineage: Eukaryota; Metazoa; Cnidaria; Anthozoa; Malacalcyonacea; Plexauridae.
GAAACACACAAACAAAAACACUAGGUUAAAUUUUAACCAAGGAUUAGCCUUAGCUUAGAACAACCGACACCAGGUCAACCUACAAAUAUUAAGGCGCUAUAUUUAAAGCUUGGUGAGACCAAAUAGACGACUAUAUAGACCCAAUACUGAAGUAAACAUAUCAUUUUACAGUCGACAAUCAAAUGUUGUAGCCGUAAACUGUAGCAAAAUACUGAUAACAGUUUUAAACAGAG